This 268-nucleotide unclassified non-coding RNA is filed under the name Hevea brasiliensis (rubber tree). The record is from RNAcentral. Lineage: Eukaryota; Viridiplantae; Streptophyta; Magnoliopsida; Malpighiales; Euphorbiaceae.
UUUGAUAUUGAUAAAGCAAUGACGACUCCAAACCCAACAGCCCUGGCAAGUCACCAAGCAAUUCCCUUCUGUCAGAUUCUCCAAUUUGCUGGAAUUCAAGCCAUCUUGGACAAUGUGGAUGAUGCCAGCAGAAUUCACAUAAUUGAUUUUACACUAAGAUGUGGACUUCAAUGGACUGUUUUAAUGCAAGCUUUAGUUUCUCGAUGCGAAUGCCCUGUCGAGCUUCUCAAGAUAACUGCAAUUGCAACUGCAGGGGAGGAUUUAAUUG